Molecule: ribosomal RNA, 302 nt
Filed under: uncultured bacterium
Lineage: Bacteria
Description: partial 16S ribosomal RNA
Rfam family: Bacterial small subunit ribosomal RNA
Source: RNAcentral
GCAGCAGCCGCGGGAAUACAGAGGUCCCGAGCGUUGUUCGGAUUCACUGGGCGUAAAGGGUGUGUAGGAGGUUUGGUAAGUCAGGUGUGAAAUCCCGCAGCUCAACUGCGGAACUGCAUUCGAUACUGCCGAACUAGAGGCUUGGAGGGGGAAGCGGAAUUCUUGGUGUAGCGGUGAAAUGCGUAGAUAUCAAGAGGAACACCGGUGGCGAAGGCGGCUUCCUGGACAAGUCCUGACUCUGAAACACGAAAGCCAGGGGAGCGAAUGGGAUUAGAUACCCCCGUAGUCCCUGUCUCUUAUAC